UAAGGAUGACCUCAGCUUGCUUCAUCCAUCCCCUGAAGCUACUGUGAUGUUGGACGAAGCCAAAGAAUCCAUAGAAUCCUGAGCACGUUGCUCUGGUUUCAAAUCUGACAAAAACCCCAGGGAUUUUCAUACCCCUGUGUUUGAUCGUUAGCCUACCCUGAAGCCCCAUGGUCCAGAUCCAAUUUCUGGAGCCUUCUACUGUUUGCGGGGCCUGGGUGGUUGCCAUGAGCAGAAACACUGUUCAUCUUGUGCCCAGUCCAUAUCAGGAUGAAGAGGGAAAGGCUGCUCUUUUUUUGGCCCCUUAAAACACCUCAGUUAUCAAGGAGACACCUGGAUCCCAAACUUGACCAUCGACCUACAUGGUGAA
RNAcentral lists this long non-coding RNA (367 nucleotides) under Rhinopithecus bieti (black snub-nosed monkey). RNAcentral's name for it is "lncRNA (ENSRBIG00000046548.1)". The record is from RNAcentral. Lineage: Eukaryota; Metazoa; Chordata; Mammalia; Primates; Cercopithecidae.